AACAAAAAAUGCUUGCAUGACAGUUACCAAAGCAAGCUUGAACCUGCCGUCUUUUCCUCUCUUAUACGGUUAUACCGAUAAAACAAGAACAACAUUAACAAGUUCAACUCUUUUCUUUAGCCAAAUGUCUUCUUUUCUCUUCUUCUCCAGAAUCACAAAGCACUUAGGAGUACUUUCAUCGAACACUUGAAGGGCAGGAAUACCGACCAAACUCCUACUUGCACCUCCAUCUCCAUUGACCGUUCCGCCCUCUAUAAUCCACCUGGUCCCAUUAAAAUUUUGCGGUGUUUUUUGAAUUAGUUUUCUUUUUUACUCAUUGGUUAUUGUUGUUUUGUAGGACAUUCUCAUGAACCCACAUCGGAGUCUGAGCUUGUCUAGCACCUUAACGGCAUUAGCAAGUUCCGAGGUGGCUCAAUCUCAGUGGCAGAGUAUAUGGAAGAAGUUUUGAUGAAUCCUAAAUUUGGGUUCUAUAUUAAUCGAGAUGUGUUUGGAGUAGAAAGAGAUUUCAUUACAUCUCCUGAAGUAAGCCAGAUGUUUGGUGAGGUAAAUGAGUUAUCGUUAAACUUUUGAAUCUUGUCUGAUUGAGUUCCAUGGAACUUGGAAACCUUGUGUCAUUUUUAAGGUCAUCAAGGCGGUAAGGGAGCUAUUACAUUGAAACAGCAUUUGUACUUGUUAGAUAUUGGAUUCUGGUCACCUCAAUUGUCAUUUUUUGGUGGGUUGCUGUCUGACAAAAUAAUUUCACUUUGACCGUUUCAAUGUAAAGCCAGAUGGUUGGUGUGUGGGCAAUGUGCCUUUGGUAGCAAAUGGGACAGCCAUAAAAAGUUAACCUAGUUGAGCUGGGUGCAGGUCGAGGAACUCUGAUGGCUGAUCUUCUGCGUGGUGCAUCAAAAUUUAAGAGCUUCACAGAAUCGUUGCAUGUACAUAUGGUAGAAUGUAGUUCCAUGUUACAGAAAACUCAGUAACACAACUUGUUUGGAUGAAGAUGAUACCAGUGAUGGUGUUGAGAAAAGGACUAUCAGCAUAUUGGCAGCAGCACCUGUUUCGUGACAUGCUUUGUUAGAGCAGGUUCCAUCAAGAUUUAUGGAGUUGUCUUUUAAAUUGCUUUUCCAUGAAACCAUAUGUAUCGGACCUGUAUUGUUCAAAUGGAAUGAGUUCUCAAUUUUAGUUCA
Populus trichocarpa (black cottonwood) is the source of this 1169-nucleotide long non-coding RNA. RefSeq lists it as uncharacterized. Lineage: Eukaryota; Viridiplantae; Streptophyta; Magnoliopsida; Malpighiales; Salicaceae. The record is from RefSeq and is a predicted model, not a curated record. The transcript has 3 exons.